This 253-nucleotide ribosomal RNA is filed under the name uncultured bacterium. RNAcentral describes it as "partial 16S ribosomal RNA". It matches the Rfam family "Bacterial small subunit ribosomal RNA", at positions 524 to 776 of the family's 1533-position model. RNAcentral also lists the same sequence under 1 other name. The record is from RNAcentral.
CACGUAGGGGGCAAGCGUUGUCCGGAUUUAUUGGGCGUAAAGAGCUCGUAGGUGGCUGAGUAAGUCGGAUGUUAAAUCCCCAGGCUCAACCUGGGACACCACCCGAUACUGCUCUAGCUAGAGUCCGGUAGGGGAGCAUGGAAUUCCUGGUGUAGCGGUGAAAUGCGCAGAUAUCAGGAGGAACACCAGCGGCGAAGGCGGUGCUCUGGGCCGGAACUGACACUGAGGAGCGAAAGCGUGGGUAGCAAACAGG